This 440-nucleotide ribosomal RNA is filed under the name uncultured bacterium. RNAcentral describes it as "partial 16S ribosomal RNA". It matches the Rfam family "Bacterial small subunit ribosomal RNA", at positions 338 to 795 of the family's 1533-position model. The record is from RNAcentral.
CCUACGGGUGGCAGCAGUGGGGAAUAUUGCACAAUGGGGGGAACCCUGAUGCAGCGACGCCGCGUGAGUGCCUCCGUCUUUCGGUAUGUCACGCUCUCUCAGCCGUUAAGAUAAUGACGGUACCUGACUAAGAAGCCCCGGCUAACUACGUGCCAGCAGCCGCGGUAAUACGUAGGGGGCAAGCGUUAUCCGGAUUUACUGGGUGUAAAGGGAGCGUAGACGGUUAUGCAAGUCUGAAGUGAAAGCCCAGGGCUCAACCAUGGGACUGCUUUGGAAACUGUACAACUGGAGUGCAGGAGAGGUAAGCGGAAUUCCUAGUGUAGCGGUGAAAUGCGUAGAUAUUAGGAGGAACACCAGUGGCGAAGGCGGCUUACUGGACUGUAACUGACGUUGAGGCUCGAAGGCGUGGGGAGCAAACAGGAUUAGAUACCCUGGUAGUC